AAUAGACUACCCAGGUAGUCCACGCCGUAAACGAUGAGUGCUAGGUGUUAGGGGUUUCGAUACCCUUGGUGCCGAAGUCAACACAGUAAGCACUCCGCCUGGGGAGUACGGUCGCAAGACUGAAACUCAAAGGAAUUGACGGGGGACCCGCACAAGCAGUGGAGUAUGUGGUUUAAUUCGAAGCAACGCGAAGAACCUUACCAGGUCUUGACAUCCCUCUGAAUAUCCUAGAGAUAGGGUAGGCCUUCGGGACAGAGGAGACAGGUGGUGCAUGGUUGUCGUCAGCUCGUGUCGUGAGAUGUUGGGUUAAGUCCCGCAACGAGCGCAACCCUUGAUUUUAGUUGCCAGCACUUCGGGUGGGCACUCUAGAAUGACUGCCGGUGACAAACCGGAGGAAGGCGGGGAUGACGUCAAAUCAUCAUGCCCCUUAUGACCUGGGCUACACACGUACUACAAUGGCCGGUACAACGGGAAGCGAAGGGGCGACCUGGAGCCAAUCCUUACAAGGCCGGUCUCAGUUCGGAUUGCGAGG
Molecule: ribosomal RNA, 532 nt
Filed under: uncultured bacterium
Lineage: Bacteria
Description: bacterial SSU rRNA
Rfam family: Bacterial small subunit ribosomal RNA
Source: RNAcentral